GACGAACGCUGGCGGCGUGCUUAACACAUGCAAGUCGAACGGAAAGGCCCUGCUUUUGUGGGGUGCUCGAGUGGCGAACGGGUGAGUAACACGUGAGUAACCUGCCCUUGACUUUGGGAUAACUUCAGGAAACUGGGGCUAAUACCGGAUAGGAGCUCCUGCUGCAUGGUGGGGGUUGGAAAGUUUCGGCGGUUGGGGAUGGACUCGCGGCUUAUCAGCUUGUUGGUGGGGUAGUGGCUUACCAAGGCUUUGACGGGUAGCCGGCCUGAGAGGGUGACCGGCCACAUUGGGACUGAGGUACGGCCCAGACUCCUACGGGGGGCAGCGGUGGGGAAUAUUGCACAAUGGGCGGAAGCCUGAUGCAGCAACGCCGCGUGCGGGAUGACGGCCUUCGGGUUGUAAACCGCUUUCGCCUGUGACGAAGCGUGAGUGACGGUAAUGGGUAAAGAAGCACCGGCUAACUACGUG
Molecule: ribosomal RNA, 468 nt
Filed under: uncultured bacterium
Lineage: Bacteria
Description: partial 16S ribosomal RNA
Rfam family: Bacterial small subunit ribosomal RNA
Source: RNAcentral